Molecule: ribosomal RNA, 252 nt
Filed under: Butyricimonas virosa
Lineage: Bacteria; Pseudomonadati; Bacteroidota; Bacteroidia; Bacteroidales; Odoribacteraceae
Description: partial 16S ribosomal RNA
Rfam family: Bacterial small subunit ribosomal RNA
Source: RNAcentral
UACGGGGGAUGCGAGCGUUAUCCGGAUUUAUUGGGUUUAAAGGGCGCGUAGGCGGGACGGCAAGUCAGCGGUAAAAGACUGCAGCUAAACUGUAGCACGCCGUUGAAACUGUCGACCUGGAGACGAGACGAGGGAGGCGGAACAAGUGAAGUAGCGGUGAAAUGCAUAGAUAUCACUUGGAACCCCGAUAGCGAAGGCAGCUUCCCAGGCUCGGUCUGACGCUGAUGCGCGAGAGCGUGGGUAGCGAACAGG